CGCCCUCGUAGCUCAGCUGGACAGAGCAAGAGCCUUCUAAUCUCUAGGUCGCAGGUUCGAGUCCUGCCGGGGGCGCCC
Molecule: transfer RNA, 78 nt
Filed under: Barrientosiimonas humi
Lineage: Bacteria; Bacillati; Actinomycetota; Actinomycetes; Micrococcales; Dermacoccaceae
Also listed under: 1 other name
Description: tRNA-Arg(tct)
Rfam family: tRNA
About the family: Transfer RNA (tRNA) molecules are approximately 80 nucleotides in length.
Source: RNAcentral